RNAcentral lists this ribosomal RNA (393 nucleotides) under uncultured bacterium. Its description in RNAcentral is "bacterial SSU rRNA". It matches the Rfam family "Bacterial small subunit ribosomal RNA", at positions 335 to 719 of the family's 1533-position model. The record is from RNAcentral.
ACUCCUACGGGAGGCAGCAGUGGGGAAUAUUGCACAAUGGGGGAAACCCUGAUGCAGCCAUGCCGCGUGUGUGAAGAAGGCCUUCGGGUUGUAAAGCACUUUCAGUAGGGAGGAAGGUAGUGUAGUUAACACCUGCAUUAUUUGACGUUACCUACAGAAGAAGCACCGGCUAACUCCGUGCCAGCAGCCGCGGUAAGUACGGAGGGUGCGAGCGUUAAUCGGAAUUACUGGGCGUAAAGCGCAUGCAGGCGGCCUGUUAAGUCAGAUGUGAAACGCCCGGGGUCUUAACCUCGGAAUUGCAUUUGAAACUGGCAGGCUAGAGUCUUGUAGAGGGGUUAGAAUUUCAGGUGUAGCGGUGAAAUGCGUAGAGAUCUGAAGGAAUACCAGUGCGAA